UGCUUGUACAUGUAUAUAUGCAAUUGUAGCACUUUUUGAUGAUAUGCGCAUACUAAUUGCUAUGUAACACCCGACAGGUGUAUCCAAAUUCGAUGAAAAUGGUAUCAAAAUGUGCAUAAGACUUGAGGAAAAGAAUCGAAGAACAACAAUGUAAAAUUCCAAGCGGUUGCGGCGCUAUCUCCAAAAAUGCGGGGUGGGGGAGGGGGGGGGGGGGGGGCUCUUACGCCACCCCCCCCCCCCAAGUACAGUAAGGAGUAAAUGACGUUAGCCAUAUAAUUAUAAAUAUGCAUUUUUUAAGAUGCUUACAUAUACAUGUAAAGUGUUAAAGGGCAAGUUCACCCGAAAAUAAGUUGAUCUUCAUACAUGUAAAGUGUUAAAGGAGAAGUCCACCCCAAAAAUAAGUUGGUCUUCAUAAAAGCAGAUAAAUGAGAGAAACAAAUCAAUGAAAUUUUGAGGAAAAUCAAAAACAAAUGAGAAAGUUAUAAAUUGUUGGAGUUGUAAUCAGUGAAGCACAAAUUGCAAACUGUGUGACAUCACAUGCGAGCUCAUAUCUCAUUUGCUUUGUACAAAAAAUAUUUUGAAAAAUUAAUUUCCUCAGACGUUGAUUAAAUGAAUACGAUAACAUUAGCAUAAAACCAGUGAUCAGUAAUAACAUCUAUCUGAAAGAUGAAUAAGGGUAAUGCUUUUCACCUACUAACAAUACUGGUGAAGGUGAUAGCAGUAGUAAAGGUAACGGAGACACUGAUUAUAUUUAAUAUUAGCAGUGACAAUGGAAAUGUUUCAUUUAUAUUACAUUUUUUUAUCACCAUGUGUAGGUAUUGAAUAUCUUCAAAAUUUCUACCAUUUCAGAAAACUUGGUUUAGUGAAGACUGGGUCUUGGCGAGUGUCUUUGAUAUGUUAAGGGAAUUGAGGACAAAUGAUGGUGUAAUACCGGAGUUGAAAGAUGAGUAUGAAUAUGACAUAGUGCUCCGUGAGAAGUUGGUGAAGUCAUGGGGGUUAGCCCAGGAAGCCUUAAAAGGUGCAUGCUGCAGGAAAAUACAAGAAGUAUUAGGAUAUGAAUGCUAGAAACAGGAAAUUUAAUAACGGAGAUCAGGGUUUAUCUUGCUUCCCACUGAUCAGAACAAGUUGUUGCUGAAAUGGAAGGGCCCAUUCCCUGUGCUGGCGUAAAGUAUGACUAUGACUACAUUGUCAGUGGUGUUCUUAAGAAAUAUCACAUUAAUCUUCUCAACAAAUAAUUUCUCAGGCAGAAGGUUAACUUGUCAGUGGCUGGCUGCUUUGAUUUGUGUAUAGAGAGUAGGAAGGUGUGUCAAGAUUCUGCAGAAGAUGCCGAGGAUCAGUUUAUAUUGAAGGUAAAUGUGGGUGCUGGGCUUAUGCAGUAACAUUCAGGAGAAGAAUUCCUGAUUGCUUAUGCGAGUAACAAGUCAUUACCACGGGUAGAAAAUUACACAAAAAAGAAAAAAAGUGCUUAGCAAUAGUACGAGCAAUCAAAAAGUUAAAAUAUUAUUUGUAUUGAAUUGAAGUACACACAGACCACAAACCAUUCUUCUAUAUUCAAGCGAAGAGGUUUGACAAUAAGAGAAUCAUGAGAUGGAGCAUGAUGCUCCAAGAUUACAGGUUUCGGCUUGUAUCGGUGAAGGUUCAGUAUAAUGUUACAGCAGAUUAUAUGAGCAGAAUGUAAAAUGCACUAUACUCAUGGAUUUCUUUUGUCUGUCUACCAUUGUAAAUUAUUGGAUGUGUAUCACGGUUUAAUAACAUAUUUUGUUAAUGUCAUUUGUUGAAUACAUAUUGCAUUUACCAGGAUUAUGUAAUGUUGAGAUUUAUUUUAUAUUGAUCUUCCCAGCCACAAAUGUAUACCCAUCAAACUUUCUAUGAUAGCACAUACAAAAUUAUUAUCCUGAGCAUAUGUUUUGUAGAAAUUCAUGAAAUCCACUACACAAGUUUGAUAUGAAGAAGAAAAUAUUACAGCAAUAUAUACGCAUUGUAGUUUAUGCAAGUGCAGGAAUAUUACUCACUACAUUUUGAACAGAAAAAACAGAAAGAGAUGAUAAUUAGACAGCCACCUUAUGUAUCUAAAUAUAUCAGAGAGGGCUUAAUGAUGCUGAACACAAUGGGUUGUGCUCUUUAAUGCUGGAUAAUUGUUUAAUUUUGAGUCAAAGACAUUGUCUUCAGGUGAUGAUGUGAACAUUUGAUAAUCUCUACUUUGUAUUAACAGGUUAUAUACAAACUCUAUGGACAUUGACGUAUAGCCAUGUUAUAGGUUUUCAACUUUGUGCAGAAUAUGUCAUACAUAUUUAUACAUGGAUUGUUUUUAUGCUAAUUAUCCCACAGCAUGAUAUUGUUGUGCUAUGUUGGCAUUGUUUUUAGCAAAGGUUUUAUUCAAAGGUGUUUGUAGACUUAUAACCAUGCUCAACCUUUUUCAUGAUAUUAACGUUCUGAAGUACGGGUGCUAUAUAAUAUCAUUUAAAACAAAAAAUCAGAUUAUUGGAAACACGUUUUAGUAAUUGCAUUUAGAAUUGCGUUUAGAAUUGCAUGUGCAGAUUUCAACUCAAAUACAAGAGAAAUGUAAUGUAUCUAAGUCUCAUGACUUGAUAAAAGUAAGAAUGUCAUAUUAUUUAUUGUACAUUAUAAAACUUGGUUGAUUAAACCAUAGGUUGAGAACUGAGAUUUCUGGAUAUACAACUAUAUGUAUAUUGACUAGGAUUGGUAUUUAGUGAUAUGAGCUAUGUUGUGUCAUGAUCUUCUGAUAUCAUGUAAUGGUUGAUAAGAUGAAGAAUGUUAUGUUUGACUUUAAAGGUUUACCUUGAUAAAGCUUAAAUGAUAAUUUAUGUGCAGUAAAAAUUGAAACAGUUUGUUCCAAACAUUUUCAUGA
Molecule: long non-coding RNA, 2869 nt
Filed under: Strongylocentrotus purpuratus (purple sea urchin)
Lineage: Eukaryota; Metazoa; Echinodermata; Echinoidea; Camarodonta; Strongylocentrotidae
Description: uncharacterized LOC115927245
Source: RNAcentral